UACGUAGGGGGCAAGCGUUGUCCGGAAUUAUUGGGCGUAAAGAGCGUGUAGGCGGUCCGGUAAGUCGGCUGUGAAAGUCCAGGGCUCAACCCUGGGAUGCCGGUCGAUACUGCCGGACUAGAGUUCGGAAGAGGCGAGUGGAAUUCCCGGUGUAGCGGUGAAAUGCGCAGAUAUCGGGAGGAACACCUAUGGCGAAGGCAGCUCGCUGGGACGUUACUGACGCUGAGGCGACGAAAGCGUGGGGAGCAAACAGG
RNAcentral lists this ribosomal RNA (254 nucleotides) under uncultured bacterium. RNAcentral's name for it is "partial 16S ribosomal RNA". It matches the Rfam family "Bacterial small subunit ribosomal RNA", at positions 524 to 776 of the family's 1533-position model. The record is from RNAcentral.